CUAGCAUACUGUUACUGCUUACUUGGCUGGCUUAAAAACUAGCCAACCAAAUUAAGAAGUGGUCGGCUUUAUAGGGUCAGAAUAGUCAUUUUCCAAUUUUGAAAAUUUAUAAAAAGGCGUGAUCGUCCAACUUCCAUUCGUUCCCAUCUGAAACCACAUCUUCAACUCUCUAAACUCAUUUUCGAUCAUUACCCAUGGCUGAUGAUGAUUUCCUCUCAAUUCCUCCUAACUCCCCAAUUGGGUUCAACGAGCCAAACACACCAGAAAACAGUGAUACUUCCUUUGGGAACACGGUGGCAGAAGCUGAAGCUCUCAUCAUGGCCAUGAUUGACGGCAUUGACCUAGAGCUUGCUUACUCCGUUACCCAUGCGAGGAGACAUAGCUUAUGACAACUUCACGGGGGUGCCAGUAGUAACAGACAAGUAACAACUGAUGAGCACGUAUAGACUUGGGCUCGUGGGAGAGGAAAUUAUUAUGGUCCAGGGCAGGCUCCUCAUGAGUGACACGGUCUGGGUAUCCGAGAUUGUCGACGACGGGGAUGCGACCCUUUGCCACCAACUUUAGUGCCUCCACAUAUUCUAGCUGCCCACCAUGAGGACGGAGUUGCUUUGCCCAAGGUGAUCAUCAGCAACAGUGAUGAUGAUGAUAAUGAGGAUGUCGUGCAUGAUGGGCCCUUUAAUUACUUUUCGGUUGCUAGCAGCAUUUUUGGUAGUGGGGCUAAUGGCGAUGAUGACAGACCUGGCAGAGCUGGCAUCCCGUUGCCUGUCGGGAUGGUAGGUCCAGCUGCUUAGUUUAUGUUCUACUUUUUGGUCACCUUUUAAUUUACUUUCCUUUGAAUAGCUUGUAAGAACUUCAAAUGUAUUUAUUCCCCAAAUGUUAUAGGCACUUUUGCAGUUAGUCGUUUUGUAGACAAUUUUGCCAUUCACGGCCUUUAUAUAAAAACACCUUUUGUUUAUAGAUGUCCUCCAAGGCCUUGCUUUGCUUUACAUUUUGAGCAUUCUUGCAUACGUCUAAGUACCCUUGUCUUUCCCAAAUCCUAAACAUGCAUCCUUGCUCUUGUUCUGAUACUCUGAAGCUUAUCAAAUCACCUGGACCAACUACCCUAGAGUCUAUCGGCUAAUACCUUGCCCGGUAGGCCAAACAUGAAUUCGGCAGGUCCAUCCGGGGAAUUCCUGAGUUGGUCGUGACUUUUUCACUUUUCACAUUUUGUAAAAAGGUGGUACUUUUAUUGCAAACUACCCACAACCACCUGAAGUUGCUAUUUAUGUGGCCUUUUGUGUAUUUUCUUACUUCAAAUGGUGCACAACAUUUCUCUCCCUUCGUUUUAUAGUGUCCCUUAAGAUAUGGAUCCUCCUCACUAUUUAGACUUUACUGGUUUGUCCGAUGAAGACUCUAAUGAUGUCGUGGUUCCUAACUUAGAGCUAAUAUGCUCAAGAACUCUUUUCUAGCGGUCGUGGUAGUAGGAGAAGACUUACUUGUGGAAGGAGAGAGGAGUCGUGGACGGUUCUGGAGGAACCCACGGUCAACAAUAGGCGAAGAGUUUGCAGCCGUGGUGAGGUUUAUAGCUGAUCCUUGAGCUAUGCUUGUGCUCGAGGCCGUUUUUAUGCACUCAGCCCAAUGCUGGCUUACGGGUACAAUCAAAGUGCCUUGCCCAUGGGGUCUUUCUCUCUUCAUCUGACCAUCUUCUUUGAGGAUAAAAGCUUGGAGUUGUUUCGACCACCCACUCCAGAUUCUCCAGUGGUAAGUAGCAAUGAUGGAGAUGAUAUGGAAACUGCCUCCAAUGCUGUAACACCU
Camellia sinensis is the source of this 1794-nucleotide non-coding RNA. The record is from RefSeq and is a predicted model, not a curated record. NCBI's taxonomy places the organism in Eukaryota, Viridiplantae, Streptophyta, Magnoliopsida, Ericales, Theaceae.